CCUACGGGUGGCUGCAGUGGGGAAUUUUGGACAAUGGGCGCAAGCCUGAUCCAGCCAUUCCGCGUGCAGGAUGAAGGCCCUCGGGUUGUAAACUGCUUUUGUACGGAACGAAACGGCGCUCUCUAAUACAGGGCGCUAAUGACGGUACCGUAAGAAUAAGCACCGGCUAACUACGUGCCAGCAGCCGCGGUAAUACGUAGGGUGCAAGCGUUAAUCGGAAUUACUGGGCGUAAAGCGUGCGCAGGCGGUCUUGUAAGACAGAGGUGAAAUCCCCG
RNAcentral lists this ribosomal RNA (275 nucleotides) under uncultured bacterium. RNAcentral's name for it is "partial 16S ribosomal RNA". It matches the Rfam family "Bacterial small subunit ribosomal RNA", at positions 338 to 605 of the family's 1533-position model. The record is from RNAcentral.